Molecule: ribosomal RNA, 892 nt
Filed under: uncultured bacterium
Lineage: Bacteria
Description: bacterial SSU rRNA
Rfam family: Bacterial small subunit ribosomal RNA
Source: RNAcentral
GCGGUGCUCAACGCCGUCGAGCCGUUGAAACUGGCGUUCUUGAGUGGGCGAGAAGUAUGCGGAAUGCGUGGUGUAGCGGUGAAAUGCAUAGAUAUCACGCAGAACUCCGAUUGCGAAGGCAGCAUACCGGCGCCCUACUGACGCUGAGGCACGAAAGCGUGGGUAUCGAACAGGAUUAGAUACCCUGGUAGUCCACGCAGUAAACGAUGAAUGCUAACUGUCCGGUGCGAGUGAGCGCUGGGCGGUACAGCGAAAGCGUUAAGCAUUCCACCUGGGGAGUACGCCGGCAACGGUGAAACUCAAAGGAAUUGACGGGGGCCCGCACAAGCGGAGGAACAUGUGGUUUAAUUCGAUGAUACGCGAGGAACCUUACCCGGGCUCAAACGCAGGCUGACGGGUCCCGAAAGGGGCCUUUCUUCGGACAUUCUGCGAGGUGCUGCAUGGUUGUCGUCAGCUCGUGCCGUGAGGUGUCGGCUUAAGUGCCAUAACGAGCGCAACCCCUGUCCACAGUUGCCAGCAGGUAAAGCUGGGGACUCUGUGGAGACUGCCGGCGCAAGCUGCGAGGAAGGCGGGGAUGACGUCAAAUCAGCACGGCCCUUACGUCCGGGGCGACACACGUGUUACAAUGGCAGGUACAGCGGGAUGCCACGGGGCGACCCGGCGCUGAACCCGAAAACCUGUCUCAGUUCGGAUUGGAGUCUGCAACCCGACUCCAUGAAGCUGGAUUCGCUAGUAAUCGCGCAUCAGCCACGGCGCGGUGAAUACGUUCCCGGGCCUUGUACACACCGCCCGUCAAGCCAUGGAAGCCGGGGGUACCUGAAGUGCGUGACCGCGAGGAGCGCCCUAGGGUAAAACCGGUGACUGGGGCUAAGUCGUAACAAGGUAACCGUAA